RNAcentral lists this long non-coding RNA (993 nucleotides) under Homo sapiens (human). RNAcentral's name for it is "HSALNT0307786". The record is from RNAcentral. Lineage: Eukaryota; Metazoa; Chordata; Mammalia; Primates; Hominidae.
AAAAAUGCAUUGAAAAAAUUCAAAAUAUAUUUAAAAAAAAAAAAAAAAAAAAAAAAAAAAAAAAAAAAAAAAAGCCAGACAUGAUGGAGUACCUGUAUUCCCAGAUACUUAAGAGGCUGAGGGGAGAGGAUCACUUGAGCCUGGGAGACUGAGGCUGCAGUGAUCAGUAAUGGUGCCACUGCACUCCAGCCUGGGUGACAGAGUGGAACCCUGCCUCCAAAAACAAAACAAAAAAAAGAGGUAGGCAUUGCAUGGACUGCAUGGCAGGAUUCUGGAUUAAAUCAGAUCAAGCCCUGGUGUCACCUCAUGGCAAGAUCCAAUCAGAUCAUGCCUCCUGACAUUAUCUCAUUGCAAGAUCCAAUCAGAUCACACCUCAUUACCCUAUGCAUAUAAAACCUGACUCAACCCCCACCUCAGGGAGACACAGCUUUGGGAACUUUCCCCAGGGUUCUCCCUACUUGUUAUAAGUAACAAAAUCCCCUUGCUAAAUACUCCUUGUUGUGGUCACCGUGUCGAUAUUCACCAAGCAAACUCACCAAUUGUAUGGGUAACACUUUGAUUUUGGAGAGUCCUUGGUUCAUCUUCUGUUUCCAUUACUUUGUAGCCAAGAAAAUAAGUAGUAUUAUAUCUGAAUGGGCCUUCAUUCCUUGUAAAGAGACAGUGAAUUCCAAACUCACUGGACAUUGGAUGUGAACUGACAACACAGUUUAGUCUAGUUUUGUGAGUAUCACACAAUUUAGGGGUAGAUAAUAUAACUGUUCAAUCUUCAGCUAGUGGGAAUAUACUGCCUACUAUUAAGUUUUUGUAAUGAUCAAAUCAGAUAAUUUAUUCAAAGAACUUUAUACCAUACCAUCUACACAAAUAUAGCCAUUUUUUUCCUUUAUAGUCAAAAAUUGGUGGGAAUAAAAUCUGUAGCAAAAAGUGGGUAAAGCAAAAUCCAAAGUAGAUCCUACUCUUCACCAGCAUUCCACAAUACUUCUUAAAAGCUCCUGA